RNAcentral lists this ribosomal RNA (800 nucleotides) under uncultured bacterium. Its description in RNAcentral is "bacterial SSU rRNA". It matches the Rfam family "Bacterial small subunit ribosomal RNA", at positions 83 to 880 of the family's 1533-position model. The record is from RNAcentral.
CUUUGCUGACGAGUGGCGGACGGGUGAGUAAUGUCUGGGAAACUGCCUGAUGGAGGGGGAUAACUACUGGAAACGGUAGCUAAUACCGCAUAACGUCGCAAGACCAAAGAGGGGGACCUUCGGGCCUCUUGCCAUCGGAUGUGCCCAGAUGGGAUUAGCUAGUAGGUGGGGUAACGGCUCACCUAGGCGACGAUCCCUAGCUGGUCUGAGAGGAUGACCAGCCACACUGGAACUGAGACACGGUCCAGACUCCUACGGGAGGCAGCAGUGGGGAAUAUUGCACAAUGGGCGCAAGCCUGAUGCAGCCAUGCCGCGUGUAUGAAGAAGGCCUUCGGGUUGUAAAGACGUUCAGCGGGGAGGAAGGGAGUAAAGUUAAUACCUUUGCUCAUUGACGUUACCCGCAGAAGAAGCACCGGCUAACUCCGUGCCCGCAGCCGCGGUAAUACGGAGGGUGCAAGCGUUAAUCGGAAUUACUGGGCGUAAAGCGCACGCAGGCGGUUUGUUAAGUCAGAUGUGAAAUCCCCGGGCUCAACCUGGGAACUGCAUCUGAUACUGGCAAGCUUGAGUCUCGUAGAGGGGGGUAGAAUUCCAGGUGUAGCGGUGAAAUGCGUAGAGAUCUGGAGGAAUACCGGUGGCGAAGGCGGCCCCCUGGACGAAGACUGACGCUCAGGUGCGAAAGCGUGGGGAGCAAACAGGAUUAGAUACCCUGCUAGUCCACGCCGUAGACGAUGUCGACUUGGAGGUUGUGCCCUUGAGGCGUGGCUUCCGGAGCUAACGCGUUAAGUCGACCGCCUGGGGAG